UUAAGCGACUAAGCGUACACGGUGGAUGCCCUGGCAGUCAGAGGCGAUGAAGGACGUGCUAAUCUGCGAAAAGCGUCGGUAAGGUGAUAUGAACCGUUAUAGCCGGCGAUGUCCGAAUGGGGAAACCCAGUGCAAUUCGUUGCACUAUCGUUAACUGAAUACAUAGGUUAACGAGGCGAACCGGGGGAACUGAAACAUCUAAGUACCCCGAGGAAAAGAAAUCAACCGAGAUUCCCCCAGUAGCGGCGAGCGAACGGGGAGCAGCCCAGAGUCUGAAUCAGCUUGUGUGUUAGUGGAACGGUCUGGAAAGUCCGACGGUACAGGGUGAUAGUCCCGUACACCAAAAUGCACAGGCUGUGAACUCGAAGAGUAGGGCGGGACACGUGGUAUCCUGUCUGAAUAUGGGGGGACCAUCCUCCAAGGCUAAAUACUCCUGACUGACCGAUAGUGAACCAGUACCGUGAGGGAAAGGCGAAAAGAACCCCGGCGAGGGGAGUGAAAAAGAACCUGAAACCGUGUACGUACAAGCAGUGGGAGCACCUUCGGGUGUGACUGCGUACCUUUUGUAUAAUGGGUCAGCGACUUAUAUUCUGUAGCAAGGUUAACCGUAUAGGGGAGCCGCAGGGAAACCGAGUCUUAACUGGGCGUUAAGUUGCAGGGUAUAGACCCGAAACCCGGUGAUCUAGCCAUGGGCAGGUUGAAGGUUGGGUAACACUAACUGGAGGACCGAACCGACUAAUGUUGAAAAAUUAGCGGAUGACUUGUGGCUGGGGGUGAAAGGCCAAUCAAACCGGGAGAUAGCUGGUUCUCCCCGAAAGCUAUUUAGGUAGCGCCUCGUGAAUUCAUCUUCGGGGGUAGAGCACUGUUUCGGCUAGGGGGUCAUCCCGACUUACCAACCCGAUGCAAACUACGAAUACCGAAGAAUGUUAUCACGGGAGACACACGGCGGGUGCUAACGUCCGUCGUGAAGAGGGAAACAACCCAGACCGCCAGCUAAGGUCCCAAAGUCAUGGUUAAGUGGGAAACGAUGUGGGAAGGCACAGACAGCCAGGAUGUUGGCUUAGAAGCAGCCAUCAUUUAAAGAAAGCGUAAUAGCUCACUGGUCGAGUCGGCCUGCGCGGAAGAUGUAACGGGGCUAAACCAUGCACCGAAGCUGCGGCAGCGACACUAUGUGUUGUUGGGUAGGGGAGCGUUCUGUAAGCCUGCGAAGGUGACCUGUGAGGGUUGCUGGAGGUAUCAGAAGUGCGAAUGCUGACAUAAGUAACGAUAAAGCGGGUGAAAAGCCCGCUCGCCGGAAGACCAAGGGUUCCUGUCCAACGUUAAUCGGGGCAGGGUGAGUCGACCCCUAAGGCGAGGCCGAAAGGCGUAGUCGAUGGGAAACAGGUUAAUAUUCCUGUACUUGGUGUUACUGCGAAGGGGGGACGGAGAAGGCUAUGUUAGCCGGGCGACGGUUGUCCCGGUUUAAGCAUGUAGGCUGGUUAUCCAGGCAAAUCCGGAUAAUCAAGGCUGAGGUGUGAUGACGAGGCACUACGGUGCUGAAGUAACAAAUGCCCUGCUUCCAGGAAAAGCCUCUAAGCAUCAGGUAACAUCAAAUCGUACCCCAAACCGACACAGGUGGUCAGGUAGAGAAUACCAAGGCGCUUGAGAGAACUCGGGUGAAGGAACUAGGCAAAAUGGUGCCGUAACUUCGGGAGAAGGCACGCUGGUGUGUAGGUGAAGCCCCUGCGGGUGGAGCUGAGACCAGUCGAAGAUACCAGCUGGCUGCAACUGUUUAUUAAAAACACAGCACUGUGCAAACACGAAAGUGGACGUAUACGGUGUGACGCCUGCCCGGUGCCGGAAGGUUAAUUGAUGGGGUUAUCCGUAAGGAGAAGCUCUUGAUCGAAGCCCCGGUAAACGGCGGCCGUAACUAUAACGGUCCUAAGGUAGCGAAAUUCCUUGUCGGGUAAGUUCCGACCUGCACGAAUGGCGUAAUGAUGGCCAGGCUGUCUCCACCCGAGACUCAGUGAAAUUGAACUCGCUGUGAAGAUGCAGUGUACCCGCGGCAAGACGGAAAGACCCCGUGAACCUUUACUAUAGCUUGACACUGAACAUUGAGCCUUGAUGUGUAGGAUAGGUGGGAGGCUUUGAAGCGUGGACGCCAGUCUGCGUGGAGCCAACCUUGAAAUACCACCCUUUAAUGUUUGAUGUUCUAACGUUGGCCCCUGACCGGGGUUGCGGACAGUGUCUGGUGGGUAGUUUGACUGGGGCGGUCUCCUCCCAAAGCGUAACGGAGGAGCACGAAGGUUAGCUAAUCCUGGUCGGACAUCAGGAGGUUAGUGCAAUGGCAUAAGCUAGCUUGACU
RNAcentral lists this ribosomal RNA (2344 nucleotides) under metagenome. RNAcentral describes it as "bacterial LSU rRNA". It matches the Rfam family "Bacterial large subunit ribosomal RNA", at positions 1 to 2374 of the family's 2925-position model. The record is from RNAcentral.